Molecule: ribosomal RNA, 846 nt
Filed under: Tubeufia guangxiensis
Lineage: Eukaryota; Fungi; Ascomycota; Dothideomycetes; Tubeufiales; Tubeufiaceae
Also listed under: 1 other name
Description: LSU rRNA
Rfam family: Eukaryotic large subunit ribosomal RNA
Source: RNAcentral
UUGCCUCAGUAACGGCGAGUGAAGCGGCAAUAGCUCAAAUUUGAAAUCUGCUCUUUGAGCCGAAUUGUAAUUUGUAGAGGAUGCUUCGGCUUACGUUUCGGUCUAAGUUCCUUGGAACAGGACGUCAUAGAGGGUGAGAAUCCCGUCUGUGGCCGAGACUUCCGCCAUGUGAAGCUCCUUCGACGAGUCGAGUUGUUUGGGAAUGCAGCUCUAAAUGGGAGGUAUAUUUCUUCUAAAGCUAAAUACCGGCCAGAGACCGAUAGCGCACAAGUAGAGUGAUCGAAAGAUGAAAAGCACUUUGGAAAGAGAGUUAAAAAGUACGUGAAAUUGUUGAAAGGGAAGCGUUUGCGACCAGACUUGCCCGCGGAUGCUCAACCGGUCCUUCGGCCGGUGCACUCUUCCGCGGUCAGGCCAGCAUCAGUUCGAGUAGCCAGAUAAAGGCAUUGGGAAUGUGGCUCUCUUCGGGGAGUGUUAUAGCCCUUUGUGUAAUAUGGUUCAUUUGGACUGAGGCCCGCGCUUCGGCUAGGAUGCUGGCGUAAUGGUCGUAAGCGGCCCGUCUUGAAACACGGACCAAGGAGUCUAACAUCUAUGCGAGUGUUUGGGUGUCAAACCCGUGCGCGAAAUGAAAGUGAACGGAGGUGGGAACCUUUGGGUGCACCAUCGACCGAUCCUGAUGUCUUCGGAUGGAUUUGAGUAAGAGCAUAGCUGUUGGGACCCGAAAGAUGGUGAACUAUGCCUGAAUAGGGUGAAGCCAGAGGAAACUCUGGUGGAGGCUCGCAGCGGUUCUGACGUGCAAAUCGAUCGUCAAAUUUGGGUAUAGGGGCGAAAGACUAAUCGAACCAUCUA